RNAcentral lists this ribosomal RNA (253 nucleotides) under uncultured bacterium. RNAcentral describes it as "partial 16S ribosomal RNA". It matches the Rfam family "Bacterial small subunit ribosomal RNA", at positions 524 to 776 of the family's 1533-position model. The record is from RNAcentral.
UACGUAGGGGGCUAGCGUUGUCCGGAAUCAUUGGGCGUAAAGAGCGUGUAGGCGGCCCGGUAAGUCCGCUGUGAAAGUCGGGGGCUCAACCCUCGAAUGCUGGUGGAUACUGUCGGGCUAGAGUGCGGAAGAGGCGAGUGGAAUUCCUGGUGUAGCGGUGAAAUGCGCAGAUAUCAGGAGGAACACCGAUUGCGAAGGCAGCUCGCUGGGACGUAACUGACGCUGAGACGCGAAAGCGUGGGGAGCAAACAGG